GACGAACGCUGGCGGCGUGCUUAACACAUGCAAGUCGAACGGAAAGGCCCUGCUUUUGUGGGGUGCUCGAGUGGCGAACGGGUGAGUAACACGUGAGUAACCUGCCCUUGACUUUGGGAUAACUUCAGGAAACUGGGGCUAAUACCGGAUAGGAGCUCCUGCUGCAUGGUGGGGGUUGGAAAGUUUCGGCGGUUGGGGAUGGACUCGCGGCUUAUCAGCUUGUUGGUGGGGUAGUGGCUUACCAAGGCUUUGACGGGUAGCCGGCCUGAGAGGGUGACCGGCGACAUGGGGACUGAGAUACGGCCCAGACUCCUACGGGAGGCAGCAGUGGGGAAUAUUGCGCAGUGGGCGGAAGCCUGAUGCAGCAACGCCGCGUGCGUGAUGACGGCCUUCGGGUUGUAAACCGCUUUCGCCUGUGACGAAGCGUGAGUGACGGUAAUGGGUAAAGAAGCACCGGCUAACUACGUG
This 468-nucleotide ribosomal RNA is filed under the name uncultured bacterium. RNAcentral's name for it is "partial 16S ribosomal RNA". It matches the Rfam family "Bacterial small subunit ribosomal RNA", at positions 28 to 507 of the family's 1533-position model. The record is from RNAcentral.